GAUGUCUCAGUGGCAAUCAUACCACAUCUUAUUUUUUAUAUGUUCCGACUUAAGUCAAGCAUGUCUAAACUGUCACUGAUGUCGAUACUUAUAGUAUUACCGUACUUACAAGACUCUCAUGUGUAGUCAAGGUUGUUAAAAAAAAACAGCAUAGUUUUUAGUUAUUCAUCAAUCCAUAAAUUUCACACAGCUCUUAUUCGUUUAUAAGUAUA
This 212-nucleotide long non-coding RNA is filed under the name Mytilus galloprovincialis (Mediterranean mussel). Lineage: Eukaryota; Metazoa; Mollusca; Bivalvia; Mytilida; Mytilidae. The record is from RNAcentral.